GCACCUACCGAUUGAAUGAUUCGGUGAAAAUCUCGGACUUUGGCAUGGAACUUUAUUGUGACUUGCCGAGGGAAGUUAUUUAAACCUCAUCAUUUAGAGGAAGGUGAAGUCGUAACAAGGUUUCCGUAG
This 129-nucleotide ribosomal RNA is filed under the name Heterosigma akashiwo. RNAcentral describes it as "partial small subunit ribosomal RNA". It matches the Rfam family "Eukaryotic small subunit ribosomal RNA", at positions 1678 to 1808 of the family's 1831-position model. The record is from RNAcentral. Lineage: Eukaryota; Raphidophyceae; Chattonellales; Chattonellaceae.